Molecule: small RNA, 1684 nt
Filed under: Arabidopsis thaliana (thale cress)
Lineage: Eukaryota; Viridiplantae; Streptophyta; Magnoliopsida; Brassicales; Brassicaceae
Description: ATSL056490
Source: RNAcentral
AAGCGUAAAUUAAGACCUGGAUUGGAUUAUAAUUAUAUGAAUCUUCUUCUUCGAUUCUAUAUGAUUUUACGAUAAUUAAUUUAGGCAUUUUACGCCCGUGUAUUUGUUUUCGUAAUUCUUUAAGGGAAUGUGACACGUUUAGGCACUUUUAGAGAAUUUUAUUCCUUUUGAGGCACUUGUCAGGGAUGAGGCACUUUUCCAACUUUUUCAUUAAACUUGUGACCAAUUUGCCCCUGAAAAUUAAAAAAUUAUAAUUAAAAAAAAAGUUUCAUCUCUCCACGUUCCUUUUUUUUCCUUCUUCUUCGUCGCUUCUUCUUCUUCUUCCUCUUCCUCUCUCUCUCUCUCUCUCUCUCUCUCUCUCUCUCUCUCUCUCUCUUCUCAUUAUUACUUUUUUUUCUUUCCUUGCAAAAUCAAACAUUUAAGAGUUUAUCAAAAUCAAACAUUUGAGAGUUUAUGGAAAACCCAAGUUGGCAAAUUCCAGUAUUAAAUUUCAUAUCCAUUUGAUCGCCUUGUUUGGUACAAUUUGAUUCUUUCUUGAUAAAUUGAUGUUUCAUUGAACGUCUAACCUUAAAAGCAUAUUCUUUUGCUUAUGAGAAUCACUUAUUUCCACAUGGUUACGUUUACGUGGACAAGUUAUCAUGGAGACAAACUAGCAUCAUUUUUUAUCUUCUCUGUCUUCCAUGUUUUUUUUUUUCAUCAUUUUUAUUUUCUUUUUCAAAAUCAUCAAUCAUGGUGGUUCUCUAUAAUUCUUACAAAUCAUAGAAAUUCUGAGAUUAUCUCAAAAUUCUCUAUCAUAACUUAAAAACGAAGAAUAUAUUAAGAAUCAACAACAGAACAUUGCUGCUACAAUUGAUCUUCUUACACGCUUUAUAUACUUAAACUUGAGUACUUGGACACUCAUCAAUGGACAACUAUGCUUCAGAUGUGAGUUACUAGAUGACCACUUGGACUAGAGUGCUUGGACACUUAUCAAUGGACAACUAUGCUUCAAAUGUGAGUUAUUAGAUGACCAUUUGGACUUGAAUGCUUGGACACUCAUCAAUGGACAACUAUGCCUCAGAUGAAGUUACAUCGACAAUGGCCUUUUUGCUGCUACUCGCGUUCUCAACAUCACGAACCGUUUCAAGCCCAGAUUGCUUAGAAGGUAACUGAUCAUGGUUAACAUCCUCACUUUUCAUUGUAAUCGAUGACAGAGAUUCCUUAAUCAAGGAGAUAAAUAAAUGGAACCAAAUCAAAUAAUUGUUGAGAGACAGGGAAGAUGAUGAUAAAUCAUAUGAAAUUGGGUUUUUAGUUUUGAUUUGGAAUAUUGAGAUUCCCGUAAAAAAUUGGUUUUGAUUUUGGAAAGAGAGAGAAAUAAAGACGAUAAAGAAAAGAGUUGAGAGAGAAAAUGAGGAGAAAGCGUUGUGGUUCAGAGGGCAAUUUGGGAAUUUUGAUUUGGUAAAGUGUCUUCUCCUUUCAAAGUGCCUAUUUGUGGCUAAAGUUUCAAAAUAGUGCCUCUACGUGUAAUAUUCUCAUUCUUUAAUUUUAUUUUUAAAGAAUACUAAAUUCCUAAUCCCGCCAUCUGGCAGUAUUGUUGGGUUGGAGGGUGAUAUAUGGCCCAUUUAACAGUCCCCUCAGGCCCAUUCACCCUUGGAUAUAUAUAGAAUUGUUUGAAAUAUGUACAGAUUUCUCAAGAUAAAUAAUC